Molecule: ribosomal RNA, 890 nt
Filed under: uncultured bacterium
Lineage: Bacteria
Description: bacterial SSU rRNA
Rfam family: Bacterial small subunit ribosomal RNA
Source: RNAcentral
AGAGUUUGAUCAUGGCUCAGGACGAACGCUGGCGGCGUGCCUAACACAUGCAAGUCGAGCGAAUGAAGUUCCUUCGGGAACGGAUUUAGCGGCGGACGGGUGAGUAACACGUGGGCAACCUGCCUCAUAGAGGGGAAUAGCCUUCCGAAAGGAAGAUUAAUACCGCAUAAGAUUGUAGUACCGCAUGGUACAGCAAUUAAAGGAGCAAUCCGCUAUGAGAUGGGCCUGCGGCGCAUUAGCUAGUUGGUGAGGUAACGGCUCACCAAGGCAACGAUGCGUAGCCGACCUGAGAGGGUGAUCGGCCACAUUGGGACUGAGACACGGCCCAGACUCCUACGGGAGGCAGCAGUGGGGAAUAUUGCACAAUGGGGGAAACCCUGAUGCAGCAACGCCGCGUGAGUGAUGACGGCCUUCGGGUUGUAAAGCUCUGUCUUCAGGGACGAUAAUGACGGUACCUGAGGAGGAAGCCACGGCUAACUACGUGCCAGCAGCCGCGGUAAUACGUAGGUGGCGAGCGUUGUCCGGAUUUACUGGGCGUAAAGAGAGCGUAGGCGGAUUUUUAAGUGAGAUGUGAAAUACUCGGGCUUAACCUGAGUGCUGCAUUUCAAACUGGAAGUCUAGAGUGCAGGAGAGGAGAAGGGAAUUCCUAGUGUAGCGGUGAAAUGCGUAGAGAUUAGGAAGAACACCAGUGGCGAAGGCGCUUCUCUGGACUGUAACUGACGCUGAGGCUCGAAAGCGUGGGGAGCAAACAGGAUUAGAUACCCUGUAGUCCACGCCGUAAACGAUGAAUACUAGUGUAGGGUUGUCAUGACCUCUGUGCCUCCGCUGACGCAUUAAGUAUUCCGCCUGGGGAGUACGGUCGCAAGAUUAAAACUCAAAGGAAUUGACGG